Long non-coding RNA from Zalophus californianus (California sea lion), 5560 nucleotides. RefSeq lists it as uncharacterized. Lineage: Eukaryota; Metazoa; Chordata; Mammalia; Carnivora; Otariidae. The record is from RefSeq and is a predicted model, not a curated record. The transcript has 9 exons.
AGCAGGCCUCCCGCUGAGCAGGGAGUCCGAUGUGGGGCUCGAUCCCAGGAUGCUGGGAUCAUGACCUGAGCCGAAGGCAGACGCUUAAUGACUGAGCCACCCAGGCUCCCCUAUAAAUUUCCCUUUAUGCCAGGCUUUCACUGAGUCCUGUAAGUUUUGGUAUGUUGUGUUAUUGUUUUCAUUCACCUAAAAGUAAUUUUAAUUUACCUUGUGAUUUCUUUUUGCUCUUUUAUUUAAGAAUCUGUCAUAUGUGUUAUUUUCCUGAAUUUCUGUUCAUUGUUGAUUUCUCAUUUUAUUCUAAUGUGGUCAGAGAAUAUGCUUUGUAUAAUUUCUAUCAUUUCAAAUGUAUCAGGAGUUGUUUUAUUGCCUAAUAUGGUCUUUCCUGGAGAAUGUUUCAGGUAUACUGGAGAGGAGUGCGCUGUUGGCUGGAUGUUUCAUGGGGAUCUGUGAAGUCUAGUUGGUUGAUAGUACUGCUCAGGUCUUCUGUGUCCUUGCAGAUGUACAGGUGCAGGAGGGGAACAUUGACAGUAAGUGCCAGAGAAGGCAACGCUGUGAAGUUGGAUUAUAGAGACAAUUUAGUGCAAUAAUACCUUUCCUCUUCUGAGAUUUAAUGUCCUUGGUUUCCAAAUCCUGACAUGAAAACAUAUCAGCAGGAUGAAACAAUGGGCUAAAUCUGGUAAAAUGAAAUUUAACAAGAAUACAUUAUCAGUCAUUGUACUUGGGCUAAUGGUAAUUGCAUAUGGUGGGGAUGCUAGCUCACCAGAAUUUUUUGUGAGGAAAGAUCAUAGCACUUCAGUUGCUGCUACAAUCUUAGAAGGAACCUACUAUGAUGAGGGUUGACAAAAAAAAAAAAAAAAAAGAAAGAAAGAAAAGGAAACCACUUGGGCAAUAUAAAGAGAAUAAAAGCACCCAGCAUGGGGGAGCUAUCCACUGUGUAUAUACUCUCAGACCACGUUCACAUUUCAAGAGGGGGAUUGAAAGAAUGAAUUCUAUUCAGAAAGGAGUUGAAUAUCCAUGGAAGUAACAAUUCUGGAGCUACCUCAUGAGAAAUAUUUGAAGGAACUCUACACUCAGAGAAGUAGAACUUGGUCAGGGAGCAAGUUUCAUGGCAUUUCAUUUUACUUAUGAAAAAGACUUACGUGUAUAUGAUUUCAUUCAUGUGUGGGAUCUAAAAAACAAAACAAUGAGUACCCAAACAACAAUCAGAAUCAGACCUAUAAAUACAGAGAUAAUUUUCUCACAAUUAGGCUUGGUAGAUGAAGGAGGUUUUCUUGAGGGUUAGUGACUCUUUCAUAACCAGGGAAGGCUGGAUGCCCACUUGUCUGGCUGUGUUGAGGUACCCCUCUGUGGGAUGUGAAAUGUGGCAGGGAAAAAGGGUAGGACAUCAGGGAGAUUGUCCCUGUCAUCCCUUUCUAAUGGGUCAUAUGUGGUGGGGUGGCUAAUUAUCUAUCAAAAUCCCUUCUCGUGGAAAGAGGGUCAUAGCUGAGUAUGUGGUCUUACAGAAAAGACUACUUGGAGAAAUUUCUUAACAAUGGCAUGAGAUUAGAACUAACAUAUUCCACUUCUGGGCUGUGCCCUUAAGCCACUAGAUAUGCCUCAUUCCCUUCCGUCAGACUGGAGGCAGAAUGUAGUGGGCACAGCCCUGACCAGGCAGAUGAUCACCUAGGGGUGGCAGAGGCUCAGGAUGGGGGAGGGAGGAGUCCUUAAGAAAAAAAGAUUGCAAAAUUACAAAUACAGAAUUAGAUUAAGGGUAAAUAUUUAAUUAGCAUGAGAAGUUACAAAUUAAAAAAGCCAACAACAAACCUGAGUAUAACAAACAUCAGACAACCAGAAGAUCAGCACUCUAGUUUUCUCAUCUAUCCCUCUGAAACACUCAUAAUACAUUUCUCUGUAUUUUUUUUCACCUGGGUUCUGUUUGUGGCUUCCUAGGACAGUGCUUCUCUCAUAUCAUUUUCUACAGAGAGAAUAGAAAUAGAGUUGGGUACUUUUUCUAGAAUAGUUUAUUUUUUAUUUCAAUUUUUAAUGGUUUGAAAAGUUAUUUUAGUUUCACAAUUCCUUGUUGGUGUUGCCAUGUAAAUUUUUAAGAUUGGUAUCACAUUUAGGAAGACGUGUGUCAUGUUUAUUCUAUGUCUAAGCUGUAUUAUUUCAGGCUAUUCCAAGUUUUCUUAUUCAGGGUCAGAAUUUAAAUCCCGGUUGAAACGAUGAGACUCACGGACAUCAUCAUUGUGGGGCUCUGAUGCGUUCUACUGAGGCUGCGUGCAUGUCAGGGGCGUCCUAACACUGCCCACCAGCAACUCCCCUUCCUCUGGCUCUUAGCCUCAUUAUGGACACAGGUAACCAGCACGUUGAGAACUGUCAGAAGGAGAAACAAGAUCUAGAAAGACUGAGGGAAGAGCAAAGCAGGAACUCAGGUAUUACAGACCCGGACUGAGACUGUAACUGAGAAUUCUAGAACCUUCAGACCCAUUCGGGUGGAGUGAAGGAGGCAUAUUUAGUAUCUACGUGAACAAUAUAUCUGGGAUUCCGGUUUCUUCAUUCUUUGACAUUCUUACUUUUGAAGAAGCUCCAUCCUGGUAGAAAUGCAACUAUCAACUCCUUUCCUGCCACCUUAUCUCCAGCAUCCAGACAAUGCUCUGGCAACAGCUAGGGGCUCUAGAAGUAUUUGACCACUGAAGAAUGAUGGAUGGCUGAUGCGUGGAAUUAUGCCGUUAUGAUUGCUCCCUGCCUCACAAAGCUUGUGGCUACAUUCAGUCAGCAGAGUUCAGUGUUCCUUGAGGGAAGAUCUGGCUUUUUCCAAACCUAUCCAGGAUCCCGUAUUGCAUUUUGUCAUCAUGUUUCUCUCGCCUUCUCUGAACUGUGACACGAACUCAAUACUUUUGGGGAGGAACAGUCAGCGAUUUUCAAGAGCCUGCCAUGUUUAACGUGUUCACAUGAAGAAAAUAUCUGGCAAGUCACAGACCCUUUCACUUAAGCUGAUAAAUGGCCAUUCUUUGUGGUCCUUGAGAGCAGAAGAUCAUUUCUGCAUCUACCCCAAUGUCUAUGUCAUGCUUUGCACAAAGAGCUGAUGAAUCUUCCAAAGAUGCCCAAGAACGGAGAAGAUCCUAGAGGCCAGAAGUUCAAAAUCAGGGUGUUGUCCUGGUCAUGCUCCUUCUGAAGCCUAGAAAGAAGAAUCCUUCCUUGCCUCUUCUAACGUGGCUCCCAGCAGUGUCUGCCAUUCCUUGGCUUGCACCUGUAUCACCCCCAUCUCCAGACUCCCCAUCUUCACAUGGCCUUCUUCCUUCUAUGUGUCUUCUCCUCUUCUUAUAAGGAUACUAGUCAUUCGAUUUAGGAUUUACUCUAAGCCAGUAUGAUCUCCUAUCUUUCUUCAACCAAUUGUUUCUAUGAAGAUCUUAUUUCCAAGUAAGGUUCACAAUCUGACUUUUUUGGUUCAAAAAAAUUUUCGCUGAAACUACUUUGGCCAGAACUGGGACCUAGAAUCCAGCCACAGCACUAGGCAAACAAGCAUUUCAGGAAACCCAGAGCCCACAUCAUAAUUGGUUGUAAAUAUCUCACUAGUAGUUCAAAGGGCUUCUUGGUGAGAAAAAGCCCUUCUUCCAUCACAACACUGUACUUCUAUCUGCAGGAAAGUGUAUAAAUCUAACAUGACCACACCCAGAAAUGGCUCCCCUGGAGGUGAGCAGUCUACAUUCUCUGCAACCGUUCACAGCGUCUGUAUCCUCAAGAUACUCAGUUACUGCUCAGGACUCCUCCUUGGGAAUCCAUAACAACAUUCAGGAAGUGAAAAUGUGCAGUAGUCUGAAUUUCAUGUGAAGGGGUGCGGAGCAUCCAGAUUGGGGGAGUUGCAGAGUAUGUGACCGCAUUUAUACUCAUCAACUCUUUAAGAUAUGAAGUGAAGCAUUUGAGGUACAAUUUUUUUUUCUGAGAAAUCCACCCUUUAUCUAAACAAUUCCAAGGAAGUUCAAAGCAAUCACAUUUUGUAAGUAAUUUACAUGGACAAUUUAGGCAGAGGUAGGGGGUAUCUGAAUUGUUGAGAAAAUGGUCUUAUUUCUCUUUUUAGACUUUGUGGCAGGAACUUUUUUAACCUGUUUGAUCCUGGAAGUCCCUCAACUUCUCAGUGCUUCUUUUAUCCAGCUGUUCCAGGAAGGCUCAGGGAGGCUCAGGACACAGGUGGUUUGGAGGUAAAAAUGUUACAUGUUUUGUUUGUUCUAAUUAUUUGCUUGCAGCAUAUGGAGAGAGAGAGAGUCAAUUAGGCAGCUAGGAUACCGACCACCAAGAUCUUUAUAGAUUCAGACUUGCACUUGCGUCCUGAUGGGACACAAACAGGAAGCUAUUUGUUUAAGGGAUCCUAACAUUUUAACUGCCACCAAAUUUAGCCCCUUCUAGAAUGAAAAGCAAGAGCUGUUUAAUUGCCCUCAGCAUCUCUAAACAACAAUUAAGAAUAGGAAGUGAAAGGCACUGAGUCCAAUUCCAACUGCAAAAGCAAUAAUUAAUGAGAAGUAAGAGGCAUUGCUUAUUAUAGUUUCUUUUAGUUCUGAUGACUGACAUCAGUUGGAUGUUCACUGUGAAUUUCAUAAUUUAUUUCCACAGACAGCUUGGACACGCUAAAUAUGUAAUAUAAGCCUUGUUUGUAUGCAGUAGAAAAUACUAUGAAAUGAUUGGUUUAUAACAGAAAGUAAUGGUUUCCUAUGAACUGUUUUCCUGGACUCAAUAGAAAUAAUUUAUGUGAAAAAAAAACCAUAAUUGGUGAGCAAUGGGAUGCCAGCUGAGAAUUCUGGGGGACUCUUCAUAACUGAUAUUUGAAGUGUUAAUUUGAAUAGGGAGGUUGUACUUGGUUGGAUUUGCAUAUGUUGGGCCAAACAUGGCUGCGACCACGAGUGUAUCAGGACUGUCCACCAUGGAAACUUAUAUAUGUGUCCAGACUGUCAGGUCUAAGCAAAGGCCAAGAGGUCUUGGUCCAUCUGUGAUAACCUGUUUGCCUGUAUGACUUAGCCAAAGAUCUGCUACCGUAAAAUUUACGUGUAACAGCCAGUACCAAUACCAUUAAAUUUACUAUAAUAGCCAGUACCAACACCAUUAAAUUUAUUGCAAGCAUACAUUAAACAAUUGCCAACCAUCUCACAUAUCGAGAGGCAUGCAUGGGUCUACCUUGUGGAUUAUCUAGGGAAAUUUUUAAAUAUUUAUUUUUUAUUUAUUUAUUUAUUUAUUUAUUUAUUUAUUUAUUUAUUUAUCUUUUCUAGGGAGGGGGGCGGAUAUUUUAAAAUCACAAACAACUUGUUCCUGCCACUCAGUAGGCUUUUGGGCUGUGGAUCCAGCUACCACUUAGGGAGUGCUUAGGGGAUACAAACCACUAUGGAUUUUAACCCAAGGGGUUAGGGACAAUUGGGAUGAUCAAUGCUUUUUAAAUGUAGGUAUACAUUUAGUGUGGGUAUCAAAAGUCAUACAUGGGGGCACCUGGGUGGCUCAGUCGUUAAGCGUCUGCCUUCGGCUCAGGUCACGAUCGCAGAGUCCUGGGAUCCAGCCCCGCGCCGGGCUCCCUGCUCAGCGGGAAGCCUGCUUCUCC